This 490-nucleotide ribosomal RNA is filed under the name Salmonella enterica subsp. enterica serovar Derby. Its description in RNAcentral is "bacterial SSU rRNA". It matches the Rfam family "Bacterial small subunit ribosomal RNA", at positions 1 to 480 of the family's 1533-position model. Lineage: Bacteria; Pseudomonadati; Pseudomonadota; Gammaproteobacteria; Enterobacterales; Enterobacteriaceae. The record is from RNAcentral. RNAcentral also lists the same sequence under 3 other names.
AAAUUGAAGAGUUUGAUCAUGGCUCAGAUUGAACGCUGGCGGCAGGCCUAACACAUGCAAGUCGAACGGUAACAGGAAGCAGCUUGCUGCUUUGCUGACGAGUGGCGGACGGGUGAGUAAUGUCUGGGAAACUGCCUGAUGGAGGGGGAUAACUACUGGAAACGGUGGCUAAUACCGCAUAACGUCGCAAGACCAAAGAGGGGGACCUUCGGGCCUCUUGCCAUCAGAUGUGCCCAGAUGGGAUUAGCUUGUUGGUGAGGUAACGGCUCACCAAGGCGACGAUCCCUAGCUGGUCUGAGAGGAUGACCAGCCACACUGGAACUGAGACACGGUCCAGACUCCUACGGGAGGCAGCAGUGGGGAAUAUUGCACAAUGGGCGCAAGCCUGAUGCAGCCAUGCCGCGUGUAUGAAGAAGGCCUUCGGGUUGUAAAGUACUUUCAGCGGGGAGGAAGGUGUUGUGGUUAAUAACCACAGCAAUUGACGUUACCC